RNAcentral lists this ribosomal RNA (508 nucleotides) under uncultured Glomus. Its description in RNAcentral is "SSU rRNA". It matches the Rfam family "Eukaryotic small subunit ribosomal RNA", at positions 569 to 1078 of the family's 1831-position model. The record is from RNAcentral. Lineage: Eukaryota; Fungi; Glomeromycota; Glomeromycetes; Glomerales; Glomeraceae.
AGCAGCCGCGGUAAUUCCAGCUCCAAUAGCGUAUAUUAAAGUUGUUGCAGUUAAAAAGCUCGUAGUUGAAUUUCGGGGUUAGUAGGUUGGUCAUGCCUCUGGUAUGUACUGGUCUCACUGAUUCCUCCUUCCUGAUGAAUCUUAAUGCCAUUAAUUUGGUGUUUUGGGGAAUUUGGACUGUUACUUUGAAAAAAUUAGAGUGUUUAAAGCAAGCUAACGCCUGAAUACAUUAGCAUGGAAUAAUGAAAUAGGACGUUCGAUCCUAUUUUGUUGGUUUCUAGGAUUGACGUAAUGAUUAAUAGGGAUAGUUGGGGGCAUUAGUAUUCAAUUGUCAGAGGUGAAAUUCUUGGAUUUAUUGAAGACUAACUACUGCGAAAGCAUUUGCCAAGGAUGUUUUCAUUAAUCAAGAACGAAAGUUAGGGGAUCGAAGACGAUCAGAUACCGUCGUAGUCUUAACCAUAAACUAUGCCGACUAGGGAUCGGAUGAUGUUAAUUUUUUAAUGACUCA